CUAGCGACUUCAGAGUUUGAUCCUGGCUCAGGAUGAACGCUAGCGGCAGGCUUAACACAUGCAAGUCGAGGGGCAGCAUGAUGAAACUUUCGGGUUUCAUUGAUGGCGACCGGCGCAAGGGUGCGUAACGCGUGAGCAACUUGCCCUUAUCAGGGGAAUAACCGGUGGAAACGCCGACUAAUACCCCAUAGCAUCACUUUAAGGCAUCUUUUAGUGAUUAAAGAAUUUCGGAUAAGGAUAGGCUCGCGUGACAUUAGCUAGAUGGCGAGGUAACGGCCCACCAUGGCGACGAUGUCUAGGGGUUCUGAGAGGAAGGUCCCCCACACUGGAACUGAGACACGGUCCAG
RNAcentral lists this ribosomal RNA (347 nucleotides) under uncultured bacterium. RNAcentral's name for it is "bacterial SSU rRNA". It matches the Rfam family "Bacterial small subunit ribosomal RNA", at positions 1 to 334 of the family's 1533-position model. The record is from RNAcentral.